CUCCACUAUACAAGCGUUUGCAGCUAGACUAUCUUGGCCCCGGAAAGGACAUAGAGCGGGAAAAAAAAUCGGCGGUCGAAAAAAAAUAAAUAAUGACUGCGCUGUGUCCGUACAAGUACAAAAGAUUUAUUCUUUUUCUUGGCAAUCCUGUGACCCCAUAGCUGUCCUUUGGCCAAGGUACCCAAGCAAAGCUUUUGAUGGCUGAACAGCACAAAAUGGUGCCAACACCCUCCUGUGUGCUUUACACAUGAAAGAUCAUCAUGUCGUCGCCGGAUAAAGCCCCUUGCGGACAGGGCGCCUCAACGCCCUCCAGCGCACAGCUCUGCCAGGCUGCUGUUGCUGUCAGCAGCUAAUCAUGCUAGUUUUUCCUUGUUAGAGCUCCAGGGAGUGUGGAGCUUAUCGCAUGCAGCAUGGGACACUAAGCAGUGCUGUGCACUGGACAGAACACCAGCGAAGAGCAGAGGCAGGGCUGAAACCUCAAACCCAAGAGGCGUGAGGCGUUAGGGCUAGUCAGUGAGCCACUCUCAUGGUUGCAUUUGAUUUUGUUAUUCUGAAUUUUUGUUUUAUGACUUAUAUCUUGUUUUACAUAUACGAUUUAUUAAUUGAUUUUUAAAUAAUUAUUUUUAAUGCAGUAAGUCAUUAAAACGUGCUGUUCCUUACAAUGCAUUCAGAAGGUGUUGGAGUUUGACGGCUGCCUACGGGGGCAGGGUGGGCGCAGCCCAUCUUACAAACGUGGAGCACUUGCAUAUGCAUGCACUGCUCUUAGGCCAGGCGCUCGAUGUGAUGUCUGGAGAUGAAAUCAUACUGUGCUUUUGAGGGCCAGCUAGGGGCAGCUAUGUAUAAUCUGAUUUAGACUAAAGCUACCCCUUUUAUUUUUAAUUGUCCCACUGUAGCAUUUAAGAGCUAUUGAUCCCCCGGAAAAGCAUUAAGAAAAGGAAUGACUAUUACUGUUAAUAUUCCCUGCUUGGUAAAGACACAUCAAAGGACAUUUGAAUGUCACAGACUUUCUGAGGGAAUUUGUAGCUUAGGGUUUAACAGGCUAGCCUAUGAGCGAAAAGGACACGCGAUAGACAAAUGCAGAAACAAAUGUGAGGGCAAUUUGGAGCUAAUCAAAUUUUAUCUAAGCAUUGAUUUUGGGCAAAAGUUUGCCAUGUAUGGAUUUCAAAAGAUGACGGUAUUUAAAAGUCAAACGCUCAGCGUCAACUGGCGGUGCUGUGGUAGAAGGGCGGCUGCCUAUGGAUUUAUUAUGAUUAUCCGAUGUCCAGGAAGGCCAAGAAAUGAAAUUCUAAUCCUGCACAAAAGGUUCCCUUGCUGGAAUUAGAAUCAGUAUAAUGUGUUGGUGUCAUAGGGGAGGUGCGGGAGGCAUAAAUUCACGUGCAUGGUAAAUAUGCACAUUAUAUGUAUGACAUGCUAUAUGUAUAUGAUUAUAUAAUUUACUCACAGAAAUACAUAUAAAUACAACCCCAUUUCCAAAAAAGUUGUGACGCUAUGUAAAAUGUAAAUAAAAACCAAAUGUCAUGCUUUGAAAAUCAUAUAAAUCCAUAUAUAAUUGAAAAUAAAGACAUAUCAAAUGUUGAAACAGAAAUUUUAUUGUAUUAUGACAAAUAUAUGCUCAAUUUGAAUUUGAUGCCAGCCACAUGUUUCAAAAAAGUUGACGGGAAAAGUUGUGUAAUGCUAAAACAAAACACCCGGUUCAAUAUCUGACAACUAAUUAGGCUAAUUGGCAACAGGCCCGUAAGAUGAUUGGGUAUAAAAAGAGCCUCCCAGAGAGGCAGAGUCUCUGUGCAGUGAAGUUGGGGAGAGAUUCACUAUUCUGUAGUCUGUGUGGGCAAAUAGUGCAAGAAUUUAAUUGUUCCUCAAUGUGAUAUUGCAAAGUAAUAAGAAUUUGAGAAUUUCAUCAUCUGUGGUACAUAAUGUCAUUCAUUUAAAAGAUCCAGCGAAUCCAGAGAAAUCUCUGUACGCAAGGCAAAAGACCGAAAACCAAUACUGGAUAGCAGUGAUCUUUGAGUCCUCAAGCAACCCUGCAUUAAAAAUAGAUACAAUUCUAUAGUGGAAAUCCCUGCCUGGGCUCAGGAACACUUCCAAAAACCGCUGUCUGUGAACACAGUUCAUCACUGCAUCCACAAGUGCAGGAUGAAAAUCUACCAUGCAAAGAAGAAACCUAAACGAGAUCCAGGAACGGCGCCGACUUCUCUGGGCCAGAGCUCAUUUAAGAUGGACUGAGGCAAAAUGGAAAACUGUCCUGUGGUCUAACGAAUCAAAACUUCAAUUUCUGUUUGGAAAUCAUGGACAUCACAUCCUCCAGGCUAAAGAGAAGAGUGACCAUCCAGCUCAUUAUCAGUGGACAGUUCAAAAGCCAGCAUCUGUGAUGCUAUGGGGCUGUAUUAGUGUCCAUGGCUUGGGUAGCUUGCACAUCUGGGAAGGCACCAUUAAUGCUGAGGGAUAUAUACAGGCUUUGGAGUAAACACAUGCUACCAUCCAGAUGUCUUUUUCAGAGAAGGCCUUGCAUAUUUCAGCAAGACAAUGCCAAUCCACAUUCUGUGUGUAUUACAACAGCGUGGCUUCAUUGUAGAAUGGUCCAGGUGCUAGACUGGCCUGCCUGCAGUCUAGACCCGUCACCCUUUGAAAAUACUGAAACUUAUAUAAGGCAAGAAUGGCAGAACAUUUCACUUUCAAAACUCCAGCAACUGGUCUCCUCCGUUCCCAAACGUGUACAGAGUGUAAUUAAAAGAAGAGGUGAUGCGAGAAAGUAAACAUGCCCCCGUCCCACUUAAUCUAACCUUUAUGUAACGUGUUGCUGGCUUCAAAUUCAGCAUAUAUUUGUCAUAAAACAAUAACAUUUCUCUUUUAGUAUUUCAUGUGUUGUCUUUGUUCUAUUUUCAAUUAAAUAUGGGGUUAUGUGAUUUGUAAA
Long non-coding RNA from Paramormyrops kingsleyae, 2911 nucleotides. RefSeq lists it as uncharacterized. Lineage: Eukaryota; Metazoa; Chordata; Actinopteri; Osteoglossiformes; Mormyridae. The record is from RefSeq and is a predicted model, not a curated record.